RNAcentral lists this ribosomal RNA (689 nucleotides) under uncultured bacterium. RNAcentral's name for it is "bacterial SSU rRNA". It matches the Rfam family "Bacterial small subunit ribosomal RNA", at positions 97 to 796 of the family's 1533-position model. The record is from RNAcentral.
GGCGAAAGGGAGAGUAAUACGUAGGUACCUGCCCUCGGGUCUGGGAUAGCUGCGGGAAACUGCAAUUAAUACCGGAUGACGUCUCUGGACCAAAGGUGUGAUUCCGCCAGAGGAUGGGCCUGCGUCCUAUCAGCUAGUUGGUGUGGUAAUGGCGCACCAAGGCUAAGACGGGUACGGGGUGUGAGAGCAUGCCCCCGCUCACUGGGACUGAGAUACUGCCCAGACACCUACGGGUGGCUGCAGUCGAGAAUCUUCCGCAAUGGGCGAAAGCCUGACGGAGCGACGCCGCGUGUGGGAUGAAGGCCUUCGGGUUGUAAACCACUGUCAGUGGGGAGCAAAUGCAUCAGGGUUCUCCCUGGUGUUUGAGCGAUCCGCAGAGGAAGCACAGGCUAAUUCCGUGCCAGCAGCCGCGGUAAUACGGAAUGUGCAAACGUUAUUCGGAAUCACUGGGCUUAAAGAGUCCGUAGGCGGCUUGUUAGGUGAGGUGUGAAAUCCCUCGGCCCAACCGAGGAAUUGCGCUUCAAACCGGCAAGCUUGAGGAGGAUAGAGGUGGGCGGAACUGAUGGUGGAGCGGUGAAAUGCGUUGAUAUCAUCAGGAACACCGGAGGCGAAGGCGGUCCACUGGGUCCUUUCUGACGCUGAGGGACGAAAGCUAGGGGAGCGAACGGGAUUAGAUACCCCGGUAGUCC